CAGUCGCCGCGGGAAUACAGAGGGUGCGAGCGUUAAUCGGAUUUACUGGGCGUAAAGCGUGCGUAGGCGGCUUCUUAAGUCGGAUGUGAAAUCCCUGAGCUUAACUUAGGAAUUGCAUUCGAUACUGGGAAGCUAGAGUAUGGAGAGGAUGGUAGAAUUCCAGGUGUAGCGGUGAAAUGCGUAGAGAUCUGGAGGAAUACCGAUGGCGAAGGCAGCCAUCUGGCCUAAUACUGACGCUGAGGUACGAAAGCAUGGGGAGCAAACAGGAUUAGAUACCCGAGUAGUCCCUGUCUCUUAUACA
RNAcentral lists this ribosomal RNA (301 nucleotides) under uncultured bacterium. Its description in RNAcentral is "partial 16S ribosomal RNA". It matches the Rfam family "Bacterial small subunit ribosomal RNA", at positions 509 to 808 of the family's 1533-position model. The record is from RNAcentral.